GGGGUUGUAACUCAGUGGUAGAGUGUUCUUUUUGAAUGCGAAAAGCCCGGAGUUCAAUCGUCCGCAACUCCA
Molecule: non-coding RNA, 72 nt
Organism: Daphnia pulex (common water flea)
Lineage: Eukaryota; Metazoa; Arthropoda; Branchiopoda; Diplostraca; Daphniidae
Source: Rfam